UUGGCCUUUUGUACGUAGGUAGCAGAUUUUGGCCUCGCAAGGCUAGUAGAACGAACCAAUGAUGAAGAAUUCAUAGCAACAAGGCUUGUUGGAACACCGGGCUACCUUCCACCAGAAUCUGUUAAGGAGCUUCAAGUGACUAUAAAAACAGAUGUUUUUGCAUUUGGGGUGGUUCUGUCAGAGUUGAUAACAGGGAAACGUGCACUAUUUCGUGACAACCAACAAGCCAACAAUAUGAAAUCCCUUGUUACAGUUGUUAGCCAAAUUUUCAGAAAUAAAUACCCAGAGAAUGCUUUAGCAGAUGCCGUAGAUGGGAAUCUUCAGCAUAGCUAUCCCAUGGAAGAUGUCUACAAGAUGGCAGAAGUAGCUCAUUGGUGUUUGUGGGAAGAUCCAAACGACAGGCCUGUGAUGAGGGAGAUAGUUGUGGCAUUGUCAGAGAUUGUUAUGUCAUCCACAGAAUGGGAAGCAUCACUAGGUGGAGACAGCCAAGUCUUCAGCGGGGUUCUUGAUGGAAGAUGAACACCCUUUUCUUACUUCACAAUUCUGCACUAAUGCUUCUUCUUUUUCUUGCAUUCAUCAAAUCUCAUGCUGCUACCAUUUUCACUUUAUGCUCUGCUGUAUAUAUUCCUACACAUUUUUAAUACAAGAUUAUAGAAUUAAAUCGUGGAAGCUUCUUACUCAAGUUAUGAAGUCCCACACUUGUCAGAACACUGACAAGGAUUUGCAGCUUAAGAUAUAAAAUCUAAACACUUUAAUCUUUCAAAGCAUACCUUUCUCGGCCUUUUGGCUAAGAUCAAGUGUAGUAUCUGUUCUUAUCAGUUUAAUAUCUGAUAUGUGGACUAUUAGUUCACACGAUAUUAAAUUAAUUUUUUGAGGGAUAGAAACAUCGAGUAGCUUGCUGCUUGGUUUCUUAAGCAUCGUUCUUGUUUUGCACUCUUGCAAGGCCUGGUGCAUCCCACCCAAAUUAGUUCAAUUAUUUGUUCUUAUUUCUGGUAGUUUAAAUUUAUGUUCUGGCUAAAUGGUUGUUUAUUUGUUCUCCAUCAAAACUUGAUGAGUAAUUAAUUGAUUUCAGCUUGAAAGUUUUAUAAUUACCCUAUUAAUUUUACUGUUCUUGGUUUUGUGGCUCAGCAUUGGUUUCUUUGGCAAUGUUAUUAUUAGGUUGAACAGUAUUAUAAUUACCUUAUUCAUUGGAUUUUCUGUUAAAAUUAACAUAUCAAAUGGAUUUGUAUGUCAUUUGAUGAAAGAGUGUUAUUACCCAUCAAAAAGUUUACAUAUUUUUAUUAAGUUUGCUGCACGUGGCUGAAUUAUAAUUUUCAUUUUUGGUGGUGCUUUUCUCUGGUUUGGAAAAAAAAUCUUUAGGCCGUUUCUUGGGAUUCCUAUUACAGUGAUUGGGUGAAUUGGAAAGUUGACAUAGUGGUGGAAUGAAGGCCUGUCUUUCGGUGUGGUAGGAGUGAAGAAACCAUCCUCUAUUUGCUUAGUGACAACCCAAAAGCAAAAGGAUUUUAGGAUGUAACAAUUUAAUGUUGAAGUCAAUAACAAUGCAGAAAACAGCUCCUACUUGUUGCAGCAUCACACUACCUAUAGCAAAGGGUCUUUGCUUUGGCAUGGUGGUUAAUAUGGAAGGCCAAAAAUGAUGAAAUAUUCAAGACACUAUUAUUCCAGAUUUCUCUAUGACAGUGCAGGAACCAGACUUUAGACCUCAAGAUUUAACCUGCAAAUGAAGUAAAUCUUCAAGGCUACUUGCUUGGAAGUGUCUUUCAUCAAACACCUUAUGUGCAUUUGUUAAUUCCGCUGCCAUCCACUCUUCUCAGCUCUGUGCAACUUCAACGAGCAAAGAUAAAUCUCCAAUCAUCCAUGGAGGACGUCAUCAAGUGGUAUUCAGAGUCAAGUUUGGUGCAGCUUAGAAGACUUGCAAGGAAGCCAGAAAAGGGUAGUGUAUUAGGUGGUGGAGGCUGAAUCUCUCUUUGGACGUGCAACAAACCCGAACCAUGGAGUGCAACCUGAAAUUCGGUUUCCAGCAAGCCUAAAUCUGAUUGAGAGUUGUAUAAAAGGCACCCAAAUCACAACCUACACCACUGCAGCUGUGAGCUUUGUGGCUGUAUUCAUUGCAGCGUUCUUUAUUCCAGAGAAUCCCAAAGCUGCCUACCCCUUUCUUUUACCGUUUAUGUCCAGAAAAUAAACUGUUGCAUCUGUCUUUUAGUUGCUGAUUGAAGUGCAAAUAUCCAAAAUUCUUUAGAGAGUGGUUUAUUAAUUCUGCCUUCCUGGUUAAAUGAGUUGUGUGACUGCAAUUGAAUACUUUUCUCAUCUUCGAUGUCACUGAAAGUCAGAAUAGAACAUUCAAUUGUGUCUAUUCCACGUUCAUUGCGAGUUCUGGUUUGUUGGUUAGUUUCAUUGGUGCAGAUUGAUUUAGAAAGCUGGAAGAAAUGCAAAACAGCAUAAUGCAGUGUAGGUUGGUGAUCUGAACCCGUGACACAAGCAGCAACAACACCUUUUUGGAGCCCUGACAUGUCUCUUGGUCCAAAUACUAUCACAGCAGCUGAACACAACCCCAGAAUCAUGAAGCUGUGAAGCCCAAAAGAGCAGAAGUUAAGUUGUCCAUACAGCCUGGAACACACAUCAGAAUCAACAUGACGCUGACUCCCAGUAGUUGAAGAGAACCGACCAGCGAAAUCCAGCAGAUUUCAUAGCUUUGCAUCUGUUUUGUGUAAUUGCUUUAGAUUUCAAUUUCUUUUGGUUUUUCUUUUGUAAAAGGCCAUUUUUUAGACCAAGUGUUAUGGAAGAUUCCUUGGUGCUUUUUCAA
Molecule: long non-coding RNA, 2800 nt
Organism: Vigna angularis (adzuki bean)
Lineage: Eukaryota; Viridiplantae; Streptophyta; Magnoliopsida; Fabales; Fabaceae
Exons: 7
Source: RefSeq, a predicted model, not a curated record